UUAACCAUACCCUCAUACCUCACACAAGUGAAGUCAUUCCGUGUGUAUAACAUGUUACAGGUGUUUAAGGCAAGUGGAAGAGUGGUGUAAAACCAGUUGAAGUGUGGUGUAUAAUCAGUUGAAGAGUGGUGUAAAACCAGUUGAAGUGUGGUGUAUAAUCAGUUGAAUAGUGGUGUAAAACCAGUUGAAGAGUGGUGUAAAACCAGUUGAAGAGUGGUGUAUAACCAGUUGAAGUGUUUUGUAUAACCAGUUGACGAGGUGUGUAUAACCAGUUGAAGAGGUGUGUAUAACCAGUUGAAGUGUGGUGUAUAACCAGUUGAAGUGUGGUGUAUAACCAGUUGAAGAGGUGUGUAUAACUAGUUGAAGAGUUGUGAAUAACCAGUUGAAG
Molecule: long non-coding RNA, 388 nt
Filed under: Salmo salar (Atlantic salmon)
Lineage: Eukaryota; Metazoa; Chordata; Actinopteri; Salmoniformes; Salmonidae
Description: lncRNA (ENSSSAG00000102516.1)
Source: RNAcentral